UAGUAACGGCGAGUGAAGAGGGAAGAGCUCAAAUUUUGAAUCUGGCGUCUUUGGCGUCCGAGUUGUAAACUAGAGAAGUGUUUUCUGUAGUGGGCCGUUCAUAAGUCUCCUGGAAUGGGGCGUCAUAGAGGGUGAGAAUCCCGUUUGUGGCACGGACACCAUUGCUAUACGAUACACUCUCCACGAGUCGAGUUGUUUGGGAAUGCAGCUCAAAAUGGGUGGUAAAUUCCAUCUAAAGCUAAAUAUUGGCGAGAGACCGAUAGCGAACAAGUACCGUGAGGGAAAGAUGAAAAGCACUUUGGAAAGAGAGUGAAACAGUACGUGAAAUUGUUGAAAGGGAAA
This 342-nucleotide ribosomal RNA is filed under the name uncultured Sebacinales. Its description in RNAcentral is "eukaryotic LSU rRNA". It matches the Rfam family "Eukaryotic large subunit ribosomal RNA", at positions 81 to 419 of the family's 3401-position model. The record is from RNAcentral. Lineage: Eukaryota; Fungi; Basidiomycota; Agaricomycetes; Sebacinales.